RNAcentral lists this transfer RNA (73 nucleotides) under Apaloderma vittatum (bar-tailed trogon). It matches the Rfam family "tRNA". From Rfam's summary of the family: Transfer RNA (tRNA) molecules are approximately 80 nucleotides in length. Their secondary structure includes four short double-helical elements and three loops (D, anti-codon, and T loops). The record is from Rfam by way of RNAcentral. Lineage: Eukaryota; Metazoa; Chordata; Aves; Trogoniformes; Trogonidae.
GGCUGGUUAGCUCAGUCAGUUGAGCAUAGCGCUAGCAACGCUAAGGUCAUGGGUUCGUAUUCCGGUUUGGUCC